RNAcentral lists this Y RNA (89 nucleotides) under Microcebus murinus (gray mouse lemur). Its description in RNAcentral is "Y RNA (ENSMICG00000046514.1)". It matches the Rfam family "Y RNA". Rfam says of the family: Y RNAs are components of the Ro ribonucleoprotein particle (Ro RNP), in association with Ro60 and La proteins. The Y RNAs and Ro60 and La proteins are well conserved, but the function of the Ro RNP is not known. Lineage: Eukaryota; Metazoa; Chordata; Mammalia; Primates; Cheirogaleidae. The record is from Rfam by way of RNAcentral.
AGCUGUCGAUGGUAGUGGGUUAUCAGACUUAUUCACAUUAGUGUCACUAAAGUUGGUAUUCAACCCCCACUGCUAAAUUUAGGCUUUAA